GACGAACGCUGGCGGCGUGCUUAACACAUGCCAGUCGAACGGAAAGGCCCUGCUUUUGUGGGGUGCUCGAGUGGCGAACGGGUGAGUAACACGUGAGUAACCUGCCCUUGACUUUGGGAUAACUUCAGGAAACUGGGGCUAAUACCGGAUAGGACCUCCUGCUGCAUGGUGGGGGUUGGAAAGUUUCGGCGGUUGGGGAUGGACUCGCGGCUUAUCAGCUUGUUGGUGGGGUAGUGGCUUACCAAGGCUUUGACGGGUAGCCGGCCUGAGAGGGUGACCGGCCACAUUGGGACUGAGAUACGGCCCAGACUCCUACGGGAGGCAGCAGUGGGGAAUAUUGCACAAUGGGCGGAAGCCUGAUGCAGCAACGCCGCGUGCGGGAUGACGGCCUUCGGGUUGUAAACCGCUUUCGCCUGUGACGAAGCGUGAGUGACGGUAAUGGGUAAAGAAGCACCGGCUAACUACGUG
RNAcentral lists this ribosomal RNA (468 nucleotides) under uncultured bacterium. RNAcentral's name for it is "partial 16S ribosomal RNA". It matches the Rfam family "Bacterial small subunit ribosomal RNA", at positions 28 to 507 of the family's 1533-position model. The record is from RNAcentral.